This is a long non-coding RNA of Gopherus flavomarginatus (Mexican gopher tortoise), 853 nucleotides long. RefSeq lists it as uncharacterized. Lineage: Eukaryota; Metazoa; Chordata; Testudines; Testudinidae. The record is from RefSeq and is a predicted model, not a curated record. The transcript is spliced from 2 exons.
UCCAAUUCCCACUAACAGCCAGGAUCUUUUCCUAACCCUUGCAGAAGUACCCUGCCAGCCCUCUCAAGCCAGUAGCACAGAAAAUGAUGCUGUGGAAUCGUCCUCUGCUGCACAUUUCUCCAGCCUCCCUCUCCCUUCUCCUGUCCGAUGGGGAGGUCACAUAAGAAGGCUAAGAAAAAGGAGGACGCAUGAGGAGAUGUUCACAGAAAUUAUGGCAGUAACCCGUACUGAGAGAGCUCAGCAGGGGGACUGGAAACAAUUGGUCGCAAAGUACAGGGAGGCUGCCAGUCAACGCGAAGACAGGAGGGACCAACGCGAAGACAGGAGGGAUGCUAAAAAUGAUUUCAGGUGGCAGGAAGAUCAGCGCUGGUGGGCAGCAACGCUGGAUCUUCUUCGUGAUCAGACUGACAUACUCCGCGAUAUGCUGGAAGAGCUGCGUGGUCUCAGGUUGCCUCUGCAGCCCAUGUAUAACCUCCCUCAGUACUCACCCUGUCCCACACCGUCCAGAACCAGGCGUGUAAGAACGCGUGGGGGAAGGGUAUCUGCACCAGCCAACUACACCCCUGUGGACAGUCCAACCAGAAGGCUGUCAUUACAUUGAAAACCCCUUACUGUUAUGUUUCUUCCCUCCUGUACUCCUCUCAAACCUCUCCCUUGGCACCAUUUACUUACUGUACUCUCAGGACAUGCUAUUCAAAGUCAGUGUGAGGGUGGGUUGUUAAAGAAAUAAAGCAUGCAGCUUUGCAAAGCUUCAGGGAAGCUAGUUUGCAGCAUCAGGAGUUAACACAUGGGGAGGUGGGUAAUACAGGGAAAAUGAACAAAGCAGUCAUACCGUACCAUGGUCCAUGAUAAA